GACGAACCGUGCGAACGUUAUUCGGAAUCACUGGGCUUAAAGCGCGUGUAGGCGGAAGGGCACGUCUGGUGCUGAAAUCCCCCGGCUCAACCGGGGAACGGGCACGGAUACGGCUCUUCUGGAGGAACGUAGGGGGACCUGGAACUUCCGGUGGAGCGGUGAAAUGCGUUGAGAUCGGAAGGAACGCCCGUGGCGAAAGCGAGGUCCUGGACGUUUACUGACGCUGAGACGCGAAAGCCAGGGGAGCGAACGGGAUUAGAUACCCCGGUAGUCCUGGCCGUAAACGAUGGGCACUGGGUAGGGGGCUCGCCGAUGGGCUCCCUGCCGUAGGGAAACCGUGAAGUGCCCCGCCUGGGGAGUAUGGUCGCAAGGCUGAA
Molecule: ribosomal RNA, 377 nt
Filed under: uncultured bacterium
Lineage: Bacteria
Description: bacterial SSU rRNA
Rfam family: Bacterial small subunit ribosomal RNA
Source: RNAcentral